Molecule: long non-coding RNA, 2729 nt
Filed under: Nasonia vitripennis (jewel wasp)
Lineage: Eukaryota; Metazoa; Arthropoda; Insecta; Hymenoptera; Pteromalidae
Description: uncharacterized LOC103316338
Source: RNAcentral
GCAGUGAGAAUCAGCACGAUCUUCGAGAAAGUGCUCGCAAUUCUUGGAAGAGUAAGAUAUUCAAUCAGGUUGUUAAAAAUGUAUCAGGAGGAAUUAAUCAGUGUAUAUUAUUUAUGUAUUUGAUUUGUUUUAUAAAUUAAAUUAUCUUCGAAAUGAUAAAAAGUUUAAAUACACACACGCACCACGCAGGUUUAGGUGUCUCCUAUGUACGCAUCAUAGAAAUCAACAACUGACUUAUCUUUGUAUGUCUAUUCCACGCUUAGAAAUUACGUUUAGUUUGUGCCAAAUUCUUAAAAUAACUUAUGAAGGAAUUCAUCUAAGAUAAGACCGGACAAUAAGUAAUCAAAACUACUUGUACAAACUUGUGAUUGCAUGAAUUAUUCUACCAAAUUAUCCACUAUUCGAGUGGCGCGAUUGAAUGUUUUAAUUUGUAAAUAAUACACAAAACAUUUUUAAAAAUAUUUUUGUAAUUUGUAAAACGUUCAGAAAGCAGACUGCGUCAAUUGAAAAAUCAUUAAAUCAUACGUAUAGUUAGUAGCAUAUGCGUUAUGUUCAUUAUUAUGCACGUCAUAAAUGCAACAUUGUAGUUACUAUGACGUCGCACAAAAUCCUAGGCGAUGUCUUUAAGAUCACAAAAUAUAUUAACCCCGGGUCAUUCGAAUGAGCAUUGAAAUACUCUCUAAAAUCGUGAAAUAGUUUGAAAGGUUGUGAAUAAACUAGAACAGUGUUUGUAGUUAAACCAGUUUCAAGGAUGUAUAUUGUCUCAAAGAACCUAAAUACAAGAAUCUACUAAUUAUCUGACUCUAAAGCUAAGCUGAUAAUUCUACGGACUCGCGACUCUGACUGUCCUCCGGAGCGGCGGUGAUGCUGCAAGACCUCUGCUGCUGGCGUUGAGGGCGUGACCUUGAAUGAAGGGAUGUAGUUUUGACAAAUCAGAGCGACUCCGCGCGGACUUACAGAACUACGAGCUCGAAUCAGCGUCGGUCCGCUGGGCCUAUGUGAUGGUGGAAAAUUCGGAAAGCGGGCGAGCACGUGAUGACGCACUUCGCGCACACGUGUUGACCACCCUAACUCUCAGUCCUCAGUUUUUAUGGAGCUUUCCACAAUUGCGGAACCGACACUCGUAACUGUGAUCCGUGGACGAGAAAUUGUAUUGUUGCCAACUUAAUUUCAUUAUAUGAUCGUGGAUUGUGUGACUGUCACAAACGCACCAUGACGACCGAGUAAAAAACUAUAGAAAGUCGUCUGCUGAGAUUUCACACAUAACCCAAAAGUUGUUUAAAUUCGGUAAACACUGCCAGAAAUCAUUGAGAUAAAGUGUAAUUGUUAGAUAAAUUAGAAAGAAAAAUUUGAAAAGCUCAGUUAUGGACGUAGAUAAUCGACUACAAAUUGUAAUUGUUUGGAUAAAUAUUUUAAACUUUAUUCAAUCUGUGAUUGAUACUCUUGAUGCAGACGAUGGUGGACAAAACCUGACAUCACAGAGCAGCAACGCUUAAAUUUUGGUGAUUUCUCAACAAUAUUUAUGUAUAUGAAGAACAAUGACCAUGAGAAACUGUAUGAUUUUAUUGGUAUGUCGUUGGAGCAAUUUAACUAUUUAUACGCUCUUGUUGAAAAUAGACUGGAAAAACAAAGUCGACGUACACCUCUGCCAGCAGAGUUAAGAUUAGCUGCAACCUUAUACUAUUUGCGCAAUGGUGGCAGUAUAUGAAUGUGUGCAUCUGUUUUUUGUAUAGGCACUUCAACAAUGUAUCAGAAGUUUGUCAUGCUCUGUUUGAAACAUUAAAACCAAUAUAUAUUCCUUUGCCAGAUGCGAAUGAGUUCAGAAUUAUUGCAGAUAACUUCAAAGAAAAAUGGAAUUUUCCAAGUUGUGUUGGAGCUGUAGAUGGGCGUCACUUCAGCAUCGAAACUCCUCCCAAUUCAGGAACAUUCUUUUUCAAUUAUAAAAAAUUUACUAGUUUCGUUUUGAUGUCAGAGUGUGAUGCUUUUCUAAGGUUUACGUGGCUGAAUGUUGGUGAUUACAGAUCUCUAAACGAUGCUUCAAUUUUCAAUGAAAGUGAUUUAGGAGAAGCUUGGAGAAUCAAAACAUUAAUUUACCACCUGAUGAACGUCUUCCUCUCAUCAAUAUAAGUGUUCCUUAUUUUUUCAUUGGAGACGGAGGCUUUGCUCUGAAAAAGUAUUUCAUAACGCCAUUUACAAGAUUAAACAAUUUAAGUAUUGAUCGAAGGAUUUUUAAUUAUUGUCUCUCAAGGGCUCAACGAACAUUUGAGAGUGCUUUUGGAUUGUUAGUAAACAAGUGGAAAAUUUUUAACUCACCUUUAGCUUGGAAAUUUCAAAACAUUGACAUAAUUAUAUGUGCAUGUGCAUGUUUACACAAUUUCCUGAUCAGCUGUGAUAUGCAAAAUGAAGGUAAUAGAAGAAAUGCUAAUAAUAUGUGUGAAGAUGAAGGUGUACUUAAUGCUUAAGAUUAUGUUAAUCAAGAUGUAGAAAUCAAUGAAGAUGAUUUGAAUGGAAUACGACUGAGAAACAUUUUAAAAGAUUACUUCGCUUCUCCCCUAGGAAGUGUACCAUGGCAGUGGAACAAAAUAUAAUAAUUUUACAGAUUAUAUUACAGAAUUAUACUUAUUUUUACAGACUAGACAUAUGUUUGUCAUUUAUUUUUUUCUUAUUACUGUAUUAAUACAAAAUUUUUUAAUAAAAUUUUUCUAUAACAAAAAGAAGUAAAAAAUAAA